CGGGUUAAUCUCAGUACUGAAAAUAAACAAAAAGCAUCAUAUAUGAGUACAUGCUGGGCACUAGGUUUCAAACAUCUUUGGUGGACAUCCUGGGAUACUCCUAGGAUGAAUUUAAACUGACUUGUGCAAAUUAGAGAGAAGUAGAAGAAACCACCAUGGUGAGAACUCUUGCUUCUUCCUCUAACCCCAUGAUUUCCUGUGCACUAAGAAAGCAUUCAGUCCUGGGAGGGUGCCUGCACAGCUUCGUUGUUUUCCAAAGCUGAAUGUGGAGCUCAGUUGAGGCAAAGAUGCUCUGUGGUCGUGUGGAGUGAACAGGCCCAGGAAACGAUUUCACUGCAUUCAGAGCGAAGAAAGGACGCUUUUGCUUGAGCACCUGGGCUGGAGGGGAGAGUUUGAAGAAAAUCCUGGAGAAGAUGUCUGUGCCUGUGGCUGUGAGGGGCCUGGGCCGAGUGUGAAUGUGCUGCACGGUGCAGCCACUGAGCCCUGUGAACUUCAACCCCGGCACUGUCUGGAAGUGAGAACCCGAGCUUUCUCCUGUCUCCCUGGCCACGGAACUCUAGAGUGCACUUGUGGACGUGGGUGCGACUGCCCCAGAGCCGGCAGCAGGAUGCCCCGGUGAUGUGGACUAGCCUGGCCCAGGCCCGC
This 645-nucleotide long non-coding RNA is filed under the name Fukomys damarensis (Damara mole-rat). RNAcentral describes it as "lncRNA (ENSFDAG00000029902.1)". Lineage: Eukaryota; Metazoa; Chordata; Mammalia; Rodentia; Bathyergidae. The record is from RNAcentral.